GCGCAAGUUGGUCACACCUUUCUUGAAUAAUCUAAAUAGUCUCAGUUGGCAGGGGAAAACCAGAAUGAGAUCAGGGAGACCAAGGAAAGGAAGUAAUUUCAAGAAGUAAGAGGAAGUCAUCAGGAUCAAAUAUACUAACAAUGUUGAAGAAAUGAAAGAAAAACUUCCAAUGGACUUGAUCCGUGAACCUGAAGACAUAGCAACAGAAACUAUCCCAGUGGAAGCACAGAAAAUUGAAAAAAAGAUUGGAAAAGAGAAGAGACAGUGACUCAGUGACUUGUGGAACAAUAUCAAGCAGUCUAAAUUCCAUGUAAUAAAAGACUUCUUGUAUAGAAACUGGACAGGUAAGAAGACAAUGGAAUGACCUACUGAAAACAGGAGAAACAAGUAAGGUGCAUAUAUGCUAUAAAAACAUGUUUAAAUAAAGUUUGUAAAGUUGUUUCAUGUUUAUGGUGUGAAUAGUAAUGUGAAGAGAAGGCCUGAAUGAAGGGGAGAAAGAUUCUGUGCAUGAGAGAAAUAGGUAUUGAAUAAUCUUUAGUAUGUU
RNAcentral lists this long non-coding RNA (544 nucleotides) under Mustela putorius furo (domestic ferret). RNAcentral's name for it is "lncRNA (ENSMPUG00000027412.1)". The record is from RNAcentral. Lineage: Eukaryota; Metazoa; Chordata; Mammalia; Carnivora; Mustelidae.